AUGUACCAGAUGGGACUCUGGUACAUCAAUUAAUCAAUUCAAAUUAAAAGCAAAAGUUGGUCAAUAUGUCUAAUUAAACUUCUAUAUGAAACUAGAAAAUCUCUCCUGCCGAGACAUUUUGAAUGGGUGCCUUGUGCUCGUCGAUGCCGGCGUUGCUUCGAACACAGAGACAUUUCCUUUAAGACGAAGGACAGAGACCCUGAGAGUUGACCAAUUUCAGAGAGAGAGAGA
This 231-nucleotide unclassified non-coding RNA is filed under the name Hevea brasiliensis (rubber tree). The record is from RNAcentral. Lineage: Eukaryota; Viridiplantae; Streptophyta; Magnoliopsida; Malpighiales; Euphorbiaceae.